RNAcentral lists this unclassified non-coding RNA (518 nucleotides) under Hevea brasiliensis (rubber tree). Lineage: Eukaryota; Viridiplantae; Streptophyta; Magnoliopsida; Malpighiales; Euphorbiaceae. The record is from RNAcentral.
GAAAUUUGUCCCUUUCUCACUCUCCCUUUCUCCAGAAACGCAGCAUGUCCCCAGGGCUUCUCCUGCUGUCGCUGCAACUUGCUCCUAAGCUCCUUCUUCUACUUCUUAAACGCUGUCGUUUCUUCGUUUCUCUGAGAAUGUUAAAUUCUGCAUUCCUCUUCCUCUCUCUUCCACGCACAUUGUGAUCUCCUUCUUCGAUCCAUUCAUUUCAUAUUUACACACAUUCAGUGCAAGGAGUUCAGUUGGUAUUCUUGUGGUCUUCUAGUGCUCUUUUAGAGAAGAAGUCCUUUGAAUAGUUCACAUGGAGCAAUAUGAAGUACUGGAGCAAAUAGGCAAGGGAUCAUUUGGUUCAGCUCUUCUUGUGAAGCAUAAACAUGAAAAGAAGAAGUAUGUGCUGAAAAAGAUCCGUCUUGCCCGGCAGACUGAUAGGUCACGCCGUUCUGCACAUCAAGAGAAGGAACUCAUUUCUAGAAUUCGAAAUCCAUUUAUUGUAGAGUACAAAGAUUCCUGGGUAGAGA